RNAcentral lists this ribosomal RNA (441 nucleotides) under uncultured bacterium. Its description in RNAcentral is "partial 16S ribosomal RNA". It matches the Rfam family "Bacterial small subunit ribosomal RNA", at positions 338 to 795 of the family's 1533-position model. The record is from RNAcentral.
CCUACGGGAGGCAGCAGUGGGGAAUAUUGCACAAUGGGGGAAACCCUGAUGCAGCAACGCCGCGUGAAGGAAGACGGUUUUCGGAUUGUAAACUUCUGUUCUUAGUGAAGAAUAAUGACGGUAGCUAAGGAGCAAGCACCUGCUAACUACGUUCCAGCAGCCACGUUAAUACGUCGGUGGCAAGCGUUGUCCGGAAUUACUGGGUGUAAAGGGAGCGCAGGCGGGCAGCCAAUUCAGCGGUGAAAACUACGGGCUUAACUUGGAGACCGCAGUUGAAACUGGUUUUCUUGAGUGAAGUAGAGGUGGGCGGAAUUCCGAGUGGAGCGGUGAAAUGCGUAGAUAUUCGGAGGAACACCGGUGGCGAAGGCGGCCAACUGGGCUUUAACUGACGCUGAGGCUCGAAAGUGUGGGGAGCAAACAGGAUUAGAUACCCGUGUAGUC